CCCUUCGCGGCUCCACCACGUGACGUCACUCUGUUUCCCAGGCAAUGUCUGUUGACUCAGGCCUGCCAAGCAGUCAGCAGUGAGCAGGGGAGGAGGCCAGGGCCGCUGGGGGUCGGCGCUGAGGAAGCCAGGAUUUUUCCGAGGUCGAAACUGGCCCCAAGUGGACCUGCCCAGCUGAUGUGACUAAGGCUCACGGGAAAUGGCAGCUCCUGGAACAGCUCCGACUCCGGGGACACCUGCAACUCCGGGGAUACCUCCGACUCCGACACCAAAGCCCGGAAAGGCCCCAGCUCCAACCCCACAAAUCCCAUUCUAAUCACUGCCACAUACUGAGAAACCACAAGUGGCCGCUCCCUGGGCCAGAGGGGCCCCUGCAGGAAUGUUCAAGACUUCCUCUCCCUGUGUUCCGAAGAUGCAGCCAAGUUUGUAAUCCAAGCGCCUGGCUGCUUGGCUCUGGCAGCCCCUCACAGCCCUGCUCUCCCGCUCCCACAUUCCAGCCGUCCCCACCAGCCGCUGGGGCCAAGGAG
Long non-coding RNA from Symphalangus syndactylus (siamang), 527 nucleotides. RefSeq lists it as uncharacterized. Lineage: Eukaryota; Metazoa; Chordata; Mammalia; Primates; Hylobatidae. The record is from RefSeq and is a predicted model, not a curated record.